GAUGAACGCUGGCGGCGUGCCUAAUACAUGCAAGUCGAGCGAACGGACGAGAAGCUUGCUUCUCUGAUGUUAGCGGCGGACGGGUGAGUAACACGUGGAUAACCUACCUAUAAGACUGGGAUAACUUCGGGAAACCGUAGCUAAUACCGGAUAAUAUUUUGAACCGCAUGGUUCAAAAGUGAAAGACGGUCUUGCUGUCACUUAUAGAUGGAUCCGCGCUGCGUUAGCUAGUUGGUAAGGUAACGGCUUACCAAGGCAACGAUGCAUAGCCGACCUGAGAGGGUGAUCGGCCACACUGGAACUGAGACACGGUCCAGACUCCUACGGGAGGCAGCAGUAGGGAAUCGUCCGCAAUGGGCGAAAGCCUGACGGAGCAACGCCGCGUGAGUGAUGAAGGUCUUCGGAUCGUAAAACUCUGUUAUUAGGGAAGAACAUAUGUGUAAGUAACUGUGCACAUCUUGACGGUACCUAAUCAGAAAGCCACGGCUAACUACGUG
RNAcentral lists this ribosomal RNA (497 nucleotides) under uncultured bacterium. RNAcentral's name for it is "partial 16S ribosomal RNA". It matches the Rfam family "Bacterial small subunit ribosomal RNA", at positions 28 to 507 of the family's 1533-position model. The record is from RNAcentral.